GUUCUUCGGAACUAGAGACCGGCGCACGGGUGCGUAACGCGUAUGCAAUCUACCUUUUACAGAGGGAUAGCCCAGAGAAAUUUGGAUUAAUACCUCAUAGUAUAUAGCCCUGGCAUCAGGAUUAUAUUAAAGUCACAACGGUAAAAGAUGAGCAUGCGUCCCAUUAGCUAGUUGGUAAGGUAACGGCUUACCAAGGCUACGAUGGGUAGGGGUCCUGAGAGGGAGAUCCCCCACACUGGUACUGAGACACGGACCAGACUCCUACGGGAGGCAGCAGUGAGGAAUAUUGGACAAUGGGCGCAAGCCUGAUCCAGCCAUGCCGCGUGCAGGAUGACGGUCCUAUGGAUUGUAAACUGCUUUUAUACGAGAAGAAACACUCCUUCGUGAAGGAGCUUGACGGUAUCGUAAGAAUAAGGAUCGGCUAACUCCGUGCCAGCAGCCGCGGUAAUACGGAGGAUCCAAGCGUUAUCCGGAAUCAUUGGGUUUAAAGGGUCCGUAGGCGGUUUAAUAAGUCAGUGGUGAAAGCCCAUCGCUCAACGGUGGAACGGCCAUUGAUACUGUUAGACUUGAAUUAUUAGGAAGUAACUAGAAUAUGUAGUGUAGCGGUGAAAUGCUUAGAGAUUACAUGGAAUACCAAUUGCGAAGGCAGGUUACUACUAAUUGAUUGACGCUGAUGGACGAAAGCGUGGGUAGCGAACAGGAUUAGAUACCCUGGUAGUCCACGCCGUAAACGAUGGAUACUAGCUGUUGGAAGCAAUUUCAGUGGCUAAGCGAAAGUGAUAAGUAUCCCACCUGGGGAGUACGUUCGCAAGAAUGAAACU
RNAcentral lists this ribosomal RNA (821 nucleotides) under uncultured bacterium. RNAcentral's name for it is "bacterial SSU rRNA". It matches the Rfam family "Bacterial small subunit ribosomal RNA", at positions 75 to 901 of the family's 1533-position model. The record is from RNAcentral.